Frieseomelitta varia is the source of this 1670-nucleotide RNA transcript. RefSeq lists it as uncharacterized. The record is from RefSeq and is a predicted model, not a curated record. NCBI's taxonomy places the organism in Eukaryota, Metazoa, Arthropoda, Insecta, Hymenoptera, Apidae. The transcript has 5 exons.
UAUAAUAUCUACGUUUAUGCGUAUGCCGAACAAAGUAUGUAUAUAUCUCAAUAAAAGUAAGAACGUACAUUAUAAUGGAAAUGGAAUGGGACGAUGAAAUAUCGGAAGAUGAGGAAGAAAUUCUGGUAUACGUAGAAUUUGAAGGACUUGUUGACGGUAACGUUUUCAGUGAGAAACAAUUACAAUUGGAUAUGAUCGGUAUAGAUACGGAACAUCCCAUAAUGCAAAUCAAUGGGAAGUUUUACGAGGGUUCUUACGAAGACGUUAUUGGUACCUACAUGUUCUUCGCGAAAAAUGACAAUACCAUAGUGGACGAUCCUGUCUUCGAUGUAGCUCCAAAUUUUAAAUACGUCGCCAAAACCAGGAAAUUUUUAAAAAUGCAAAGGAUUUUUAUAAAACCAAGAACAGAAGUUUUAGGCGAUUCUCAAAAUAACCAAUGCAUUCCGAAUUCAGAUACACUGAUGCAAGCAGGGAUACCAUUUCAGUAUCAAGAAGAAGCUCUUUCAUUUUGGAGGACUAUGCGAGAUAGUAGAUUAAAUGCAUUACAUACAUAUCUGGAAAAGCAACGUAUCAGGGAACAAAAAAAGUCUGAAGGCAUAAUAUUAGAAUCCGAGUCUGACGAGGACAAUCCGUUCGCGAUAUAUAAGCACAAGGAUGAAGUCAUCGAUUUAGACAAGUCUGUGAACAUUGAUGCUGAUUCAAAGAAAGAAUUAAGUUACUCUGAUGAUCAAGGUGAUCCAGAGUUAAUACGUCCCGAGGAAAUUAACGAUCAAAAUUCAGGUAGUUCGUCAGGAUAGUCUCCUGUCAAACAGGCAGUGCAAUGGCCAAUGUAACUACUCUCACGAUUAUCCAUGCCAAAUCUCACGGCUUUUACAAGUCCUUCUACUGAAAGAUAUGUCAAACUAUCAGCUCCUACAUGUUUUGCUAAUUUUACAUUAUCUAAUUUAUUAGCAAUUAAUUCUUCUCUUGUUGGUAUGUUAAUCCCCAUGUAACAGGGAUAUUUUAAUGGAGGAGAGGCUAUUCUAAUGUGAACCUUGCAAUAACACAGAUUUCAAAUUUAAACAAAAUCGUGGGAAGGAAAAACUUACUUCCUUUGCUCCUGCAUCACGAAGUAAUUUAAUAAUAGGACCAAUUGUAUUUCCUCUGACAAUGGAAUCAUCUAUAAGAAUUAAUUUCUUUCCUUUCACAUUUUCCGACAAAGCGCCAAAUUUUUUUGCCACGCCAAGUUGUCUGAGUCGAGUACUAGGCUGAAUAAACGUUCGGCCAACAUAUCUAUUUUUACACAGUACUUCCGCAAAAGGUAUUCGAGACUGCAAAUUAAUAAUAUUACUUUGAUAGAAUAAUUGCUAUUUCAUUAUACAAGUUGUAAAAGAUUGUUCUAUCGAUUAUUUUUUCUACACAAAUAUAUUUAUAUACAUUUAUAUACUCUUAGUAUAUCCUAUAGUACAAUCUAUAGUUAAUGUUUUAUAUUACCGUUAAUUUCAAUCAUAAAAUUAAUAAAUUUACCUGUCUAGCAUAACCGUGCGCUGCGGCAGUUCCAGAUUCAGGUACUGAACUAACUAUAUCUGCUUCUACUGGAGAUUCCAAAGCAAGUUCUCGUCCACAUUGCAUACGAACAGAAUAAACCAUUUGCCCUGUUAAACAAGAUAAGAUAAUUUAUUUAAAAUUUU